CUACGGGAGGCUGCAGUGGGGAAUAUUGCACAAUGGAGGAAACUCUGAUGCAGCAACGCCGCGUGGAGGAUGACACAUUUCGGUGCGUAAACUCCUUUUAUAUAGGAAGAUAAUGACGGUACUAUAUGAAUAAGCGCCGGCUAACUCCGUGCCAGCAGCCGCGGUAAUACGGAGGGCGCAAGCGUUACUCGGAAUCACUGGGCGUAAAGAGCGUGUAGGCGGAUAGAUAAGUCAGGAGUGAAAUCCUAUGGCUCAACCAUAGAACUGCUCUUGAAACUGUCAAUCUAGAGUGUGGGAGAGGUAGAUGGAAUUUCUGGUGUAGGGGUAAAAUCCGUAGAGAUCAGAAGGAAUACCGAUUGCGAAGGCGAUCUACUGGAACAUAACUGACGCUGAGACGCGAAAGCGUGGGGAGCAAACAGGAUUAGAUACCCUAGUAGUC
This 439-nucleotide ribosomal RNA is filed under the name uncultured bacterium. RNAcentral describes it as "partial 16S ribosomal RNA". It matches the Rfam family "Bacterial small subunit ribosomal RNA", at positions 339 to 795 of the family's 1533-position model. The record is from RNAcentral.